UUUUAUGUUGAAUGAACUAGUCGGCAUACAUGGAACAAAAAAUUAGCGGAAAAAAAAUAAUUGGAUACAAAUCCUUAUUAAUUGUGUAUAUUUUCAUAAUAGCUUAUAGGUAAAAUGCAUCCAAUGCACCUUUUAAAUUUUUAUUUAUCAAAAUCUAAUCACAUAGAAACAUAUUCUUAUAAAAAAAAAAAUAUUACUCAAUCAUCAAUAAUAUUUCAUAAACACUUACAAAUCAACAAAAAUGGUCAGAUAACAACUUACAAGAGUCUAUAUUCCCG
This 278-nucleotide long non-coding RNA is filed under the name Prunus persica (peach). RNAcentral describes it as "long non-coding RNA (PPER_LNC000769)". The record is from RNAcentral. Lineage: Eukaryota; Viridiplantae; Streptophyta; Magnoliopsida; Rosales; Rosaceae.